AGUGAACGCUGGCGGCGUGCUUAACACAUGCAAGUCGAACGGUAACAGGAACUAGCUUGCUAGUUUGCUGACGAGUGGCGCACGGGUGAGUAAUAUAUAGUUAAAUGUACCCCAAAGACUGGGAUAGCCACUGGAAACGGUGAUUAAUACUAGAUACACCUCUUUAACAUAAGUUAGAGAGGGAAAUGGUCUUUUCGCUUUGGGAUCAGACUAUAUCCUAUCAGUUAGUUGGUGAGGUAAUGGCUCACCAAGGCAAUGACGGGUAGCGGUUUGAGAGGAUGAUCCGCCACACUGGUACUGAGACACGGACCAGACUCCUACGGGAGGCAGCAGUGAGGAAUAUUGCACAAUGGA
This 354-nucleotide ribosomal RNA is filed under the name uncultured bacterium. Its description in RNAcentral is "bacterial SSU rRNA". It matches the Rfam family "Bacterial small subunit ribosomal RNA", at positions 29 to 375 of the family's 1533-position model. The record is from RNAcentral.